AGUAACGCGUGGGAACGUACCUUUUGGUUCGGAACAACUGAGGGAAACUUCAGCUAAUACCGGAUAAGCCCUUACGGGGAAAGAUUUAUCGCCGAAAGAUCGGCCCGCGUCUGAUUAGCUAGUUGGUGAGGUAAUGGCUCACCAAGGCGACGAUCAGUAGCUGGUCUGAGAGGAUGAUCAGCCACAUUGGGACUGAGACACGGCCCAAACUCCUACGGGAGGCAGCAGUGGGGAAUAUUGGACAAUGGGCGCAAGCCUGAUCCAGCCAUGCCGCGUGAGUGAUGAAGGCCCUAGGGUUGUAAAGCUCUUUUGUGCGGGAAGAUAAUGACGGUACCGCAAGAAUAAGCCCCGGCUAACUUCGUGCCAGCAGCCGCGGUAAUACGAAGGGGGCUAGCGUUGCUCGGAAUCACUGGGCGUAAAGGGUGCGUAGGCGGGUCUUUAAGUCAGGGGUGAAAUCCUGGAGCUCAACUCCAGA
This 475-nucleotide ribosomal RNA is filed under the name Bradyrhizobium sp. Its description in RNAcentral is "bacterial SSU rRNA". It matches the Rfam family "Bacterial small subunit ribosomal RNA", at positions 109 to 619 of the family's 1533-position model. The record is from RNAcentral. Lineage: Bacteria; Pseudomonadati; Pseudomonadota; Alphaproteobacteria; Hyphomicrobiales; Nitrobacteraceae.